CCCAGGCGUCUAUCGACUUCAAUGACCCGCCUGUUUCCCUUACGUUAACAAUCAAGUGCACUGACAGGAACGUUCUUAAUGACAUCACGGGGACGUUUAACGUCAACAUUGUCGACUCACCGCCGGUUUUCACCGCACUGCCUGCGACCGGAACUAACAUUUUCGACGGUCUUAAGCACGCCACCGAGACCCUUCACACGUUCAGCGUCACCGAUAGCGACGACGCCGUUAACUGCUCUGCAAGAGUGCCGGAAAACGCCCUUUUUGAAGUGAUUGCCGGUGUCGCAUCAAGGUUUACAAUUAACGUAAAAGCGGGGGUAACGCUAAGAGCAGCGAACGGACCUUACGUCAUCAACGUCGACUGCUCAGAUGGCGACAAUGACGUCACUGCAACGUCACACAACCAGUGAUUGAUACGAAUUUGAAGUCAGGAUCUCUAGCACCGUGACUGAAGCUGCCAUCGACUUCAACGACCAGGCCGUGCCGUUGACGUUAACGAUACGGUGUACUGACGGCAACCCCGUCAACGUCAUCACCGGGACUUUCAACGUCAAUAUCGUUGAUGAGGACCCAGUUCUAACGUCGUUUCCUAUGACGUCAUAUCAGUUCCUAGAAGACACUUCCUUUUCCGCUCUGGAGCUAAACUCAUUCAGCCUUAAAGAUUCUGAUGACGUCAUAUCUGCUUGAUGUCAUCUGUCAAAUCUGAAAACCAACGUCAAAGCGUUUCAGAUUUGGUACAAGGGACGCCCGCGAGCGUCCUUGAACUAUGACGUCACGCCCGUUCAUAACAUCGGGAUUAUUUGCGACGACGGCAAAGUCUUUAGCGCGAGAUAUUAUUACGCAGUGGAUCUGGAAAACAACCCUCCGGUGUUUGUUAACCUUCCUGCGGUUACUUUACGUCAAUAACGGAGUCAGUGACGUCUAAAACAUUGCUAUAUUCUCUCACAGUAUCGGACCUAGGCGUUCCACCAUGUUACUUGAGCUAUACUGCGUUUGCCGCGGGCAUUCUACCCUUGGAGCAAAGUACUGUGACACCGCAAAAUACUCAGUACCUGGUGUACGCCCAUAAUCCGCGCGGAUUCGAUUUCAAAAGUUCCGGAGCCGUGAACGCCGAGAACACGUGCGGCGACUCCGUGUCCACCGUCAGAGAGACGCUGAUUGUGAAUAUCAUCAAUACGGCACCGGUGAUUACUAAUCCUGGGGGCUCUAGCGACGUCGCCGAGGACGUCAGCGGAACGUUGACGUUAAAGACGUUGGAUUUUGUUACUUUGGAGUAGUCUGAUGCCACCUGCUCAUUGACGAGCGCUGACGGAGGAUCAUUCGCCGUCACUGGAAGCCUCUUUAUCAAAAAUCCAGUUCAGGUGGACAGUGUCGUCCCUGAUAAGCCUGUGGGAACUGCAUAGGCUGAUCUGAGAUGACGCUUUAGCACGUGCAUUAAGUCCAGUUUUCGCAGAAAGAGACGUAUAUAAGCUCACGCACAGACGUCUUUCAGGCAACCAAAUCGUAAAGACGGCUGGAGCUCUGGACUUUGAGACAAAGGCAACGUAUAAUCUUGACGUCACGUGCACUGACGACCUUCUUCAAACCACGGAUACUUACGUCGUCAAAGUCCAAAACGUCGUUCCAAAGAUAACGAGUUUGCCGACGGCGUCUACUCUGGACGAGUGGCAGACUGCGGAAAAGCUACUCACGACGUUGACGUUAGCGGAGGACGCGGCUGACUGCGUUUAAACGUCACCGACUAUGGGUGAUCUACUACGUCAGCGAGGCGGUUGCGGGGCGGUCGCUUAGCUACGACACGAACCCCUUUUACAACCUGCACAUUGAGUACAGCGACGCCGCGGGGGUCAAAGGGGCGGAGAAGAUUUUCACCGUCCAUAUUAACGAUAACAAAGCACCGACGAGCGACAACCUUAGCAGUAAGCCGAACAACAUAUGCUUGAUUAAGGACGCCUUGCGAGAAUUCUUCAGCGUUAUUUAGAUACUUUAAAAAUAAAUUCUAGCAUUACUUAUAUAGUAUUGUAUCAACUUUGAUCCAUCUUUGUAUUGCGCAUUAUGUCUUUUUGUUUGCCAAACGACGUUACUUUACUGUAUUACGUUGACGUCACUUCUUGUGUUUAUGCUUCGAAUCAUACUACUGAUGACAGCUAUGGCCGAAACAUGAUUUAUGUUUAAGAUAUCC
Molecule: long non-coding RNA, 2182 nt
Organism: Dreissena polymorpha
Lineage: Eukaryota; Metazoa; Mollusca; Bivalvia; Myida; Dreissenidae
Exons: 13
Source: RefSeq, a predicted model, not a curated record